ACGGAAGGCAGCAGUGGGGAAUAUUGGGCAAUGGGGGAAACCCUGACCCAGCAACGCCGCGUGAAGGAAGAAGGCCUUCGGGUUGUAAACUUCUUUUACCAGGGACGAAGAAAGUGACGGUACCUGGAGAAAAAGCUCCGGCUAACUACGUGCCAGCAGCCGCGGUAAUACGUAGGGAGCGAGCGUUGUCCGGAUUUACUGGGUGUAAAGGGCGUGUAGGCGGAGCUGCAAGUCAGAAGUGAAAUCCCCGGGCUCAACCCGGGAACUGCUUUUGAAACUGUAGCCCUUGAGUAUCGGAGAGGCAGGCGGAAUUCCUAGUGUAGCGGUGAAAUGCGUAGAUAUUAGGAGGAACACCAGUGGCGAAGGCGGCCUGCUGGACGACAACUGACGCUGAGGCGCGAAAGCGUGGGGAGCAAACAGGAUUAGAUACCCUGGUA
This 437-nucleotide ribosomal RNA is filed under the name uncultured bacterium. RNAcentral describes it as "bacterial SSU rRNA". It matches the Rfam family "Bacterial small subunit ribosomal RNA", at positions 341 to 792 of the family's 1533-position model. The record is from RNAcentral.